CGUGGGGAAACUGAGGCAGCGAGGCGAGCCGGGACGGGACGGCGGCACCAGGCACGUGCCCACGCUGGCUGCGGCUCUGGUGCGGGUGGAGGGAAGACGCGUGCCCAGAAUCGGCCCCGCAGGCGGAGAGGGGCCCAGGCCGCUCUCUGCAGGUGCAACACGGCCAGGCAGCCAGAGACGUGGGUGUGCGGGGCUGGACACGAGCGCAGACGGGUUGGGCGGGCACGGGCUGGGCAGCGGCCCCGGCAGCCGUCCCGCCGAGCCCCUUUCCAUCAGGCGUGACGGAUGUUCUCGCAAGUGCCGGUGUGAGCCGCCUCCGCGUGUGCAGCACGUGCCAGGGCUGGUGGCCUGGGGAAAGCCGCUCGCUGCCGCCCCGUCUCACGGGGGGAUCGAGUGAGCGAGCGGCAUGGCGCAGCACAGCACAGCACAGCGCAGCACAGCACAGCGCAGCACAGCACGGUGCAGCACAGCAUGACACGGGAAAGCACGGCACGGGAAAGCAUGGCACAGCAUGGCACAGCAUGGCACAGCACAGCAUGGGAAAGCACAGCACAGCAUGGGAAAGCACAGCACAGCACAGCACAGCACAGUGCAGCAUGGCAUGGGAAAGCACAGCACAGCGCAGCACGGCGCAGCACGGCAUGGGAAAGCACAGCACAGCGCAGCACGGCGCAGCAUGGCAUGGGAAAGCACAGCACAGCAUGGCACGGCACGGUGCAGCAUGGCACGGUGCAGCACGGCAUGGCACAGCAGCCAGCCUGGGCGCCGGGGCUGAGGCUGAGGCCGUGGUGGGGACGCCCUCCCCUCCGUCCAGAAGGAUUUUCUCCUCCCGGGAGGGUGCUAAGUCAGCAGAUCCAUCAUGCACCAACAGGCUGUUUUAUCCCCCCCCUUUUACCCUUCUGAGUUUCACAUUGCAGUGUAUUUUUUAAUCUUUUUCGAGGGAACUCCAGCACCAAGCAGACAGCACAGCAGCAGGGCGCCUGCUCUGCACGUCCCCGGGCCACGGGCACCCAGCCUCCCGCCGGCACAGCUGUUUCGUGACGCAGCUCCCGGCACGCCAGGAGCUGCGCUGAGACCCGCAGCUCAAAUCCCCCGGAGCGGCGAGGCGCUGGCGUGCUCCCCUAGGGGCUUUGAGCUGCAAGAAGCCAGGCAACGUGUCCCCCAGCUUUGGCUUUUGCACAGGGACGACGCCGUGGCGCAGCCCCGCGGAGGAGUGCGCCGAGCCGCGGC
This 1230-nucleotide long non-coding RNA is filed under the name Apteryx owenii (little spotted kiwi). RNAcentral's name for it is "lncRNA (ENSAOWG00000001354.1)". The record is from RNAcentral. Lineage: Eukaryota; Metazoa; Chordata; Aves; Apterygiformes; Apterygidae.